This 505-nucleotide ribosomal RNA is filed under the name uncultured bacterium. Its description in RNAcentral is "partial 16S ribosomal RNA". It matches the Rfam family "Bacterial small subunit ribosomal RNA", at positions 28 to 507 of the family's 1533-position model. The record is from RNAcentral.
GACGAACGCUGGCGGCGUGCCUAAUACAUGCAAGUAGAACGCACAGUUUAUACCGUAGCUUGCUACACCAUAGACUGUGAGUUGCGAACGGGUGAGUAACGCGUAGGUAACCUGCCUGGUAGCGGGGGAUAACUAUUGGAAACGAUAGCUAAUACCGCAUAAUAUUGAUUAUUGCAUGAUAAUUGAUUGAAAGUUGCUAUUGCAUCACUACCAGAUGGACCUGCGUUGUAUUAGCUAGUAGGUGAGGUAACGGCUCACCUAGGCGACGAUACAUAGCCGACCUGAGAGGGUGAUCGGCCACACUGGGACUGAGACACGGCCCAGACUCCUACGGGAGGCAGCAGUAGGGAAUCUUCGGCAAUGGACGAAAGUCUGACCGAGCAACGCCGCGUGAGUGAAGAAGGUUGUCGGAUCGUAGAGCUCUGUUGUAAGAGAAGAACGGGUGUGAGAGUGGAAAGUUCACACUGUGACGGUAUCUUACCAGAAAGGGACGGCUAACUACGUG